AUGUUAUAUAACGGGUUUAAAAUUGAAAUUUAUGCUGCACGAUUUUUAAACGCGGGAAUAAAUUUCCUUAGUUAAUUUUUUAUUUACAUUGAAUUUCACAUUUGAAUAUCAUUUGAUUAGGGAGAGACGCUUUAAUUGCAAGCGAACCAACGAACGUUUGAAAUUUAAAGUGGUCUAAGCAAACAGAAACAGAAUGGUUAAGAUUGAACUGG
This 212-nucleotide long non-coding RNA is filed under the name Mytilus galloprovincialis (Mediterranean mussel). Lineage: Eukaryota; Metazoa; Mollusca; Bivalvia; Mytilida; Mytilidae. The record is from RNAcentral.